RNAcentral lists this transfer RNA (76 nucleotides) under Polaromonas sp. P1-6. RNAcentral describes it as "tRNA-Trp". It matches the Rfam family "tRNA". Rfam says of the family: Transfer RNA (tRNA) molecules are approximately 80 nucleotides in length. Lineage: Bacteria; Pseudomonadati; Pseudomonadota; Betaproteobacteria; Burkholderiales; Comamonadaceae. The record is from RNAcentral.
UGGUGUGUAGCUCAAUUGGCAGAGCAGCGGUCUCCAAAACCGAAGGUUAGAAGUUCGAUUCUUCUCACGCCAGCCA